RNAcentral lists this ribosomal RNA (484 nucleotides) under uncultured bacterium. Its description in RNAcentral is "partial 16S ribosomal RNA". It matches the Rfam family "Bacterial small subunit ribosomal RNA", at positions 29 to 507 of the family's 1533-position model. The record is from RNAcentral.
AUUGAACGCUGGCGGAAUGCUAUACACAUGCAAGUCGAACGGCAGCACGGGGGCAGCCCUGGUGGCGAGUGGCGAACGGGUGAGUAAUACAUCGGAACGUGCCCGGUCGUGGGGGAUAACGUAGCGAAAGUUACGCUAAUACCGCAUACGAUCUGAGGAUGAAAGCGGGGGACCUUCGGGCCUCGCGCGAUCGGAGCGGCCGAUGUCAGAUUAGGUAGUUGGUGGGGUAAAGGCCUACCAAGCCGACGAUCUGUAGCUGGUCUGAGAGGACGACCAGCCACACUGGGACUGAGACACGGCCCAGACUCCUACGGGAGGCAGCAGUGGGGAAUUUUGGACAAUGGGCGCAAGCCUGAUCCAGCCAUUCCGCGUGCAGGACGAAGGCCUUCGGGUUGUAAACUGCUUUUGUACGGAACGAAAAGGCUCUGGCUAAUACCUGGGGCUCAUGACGGUACCGUAAGAAUAAGCACCGGCUAACUACGUG